ACAAUUUACGCUCCGCUGGGGAUUAUUAACAAUGCCUGUCAGAAUCGGCAAAGAAGCGAUCUUAAAAGAAGAAUUUGUUUGAUACGGAGGCAGUCGGCCUGAAUACCGAAACAGAAUGUUAAUCUGGAUACCAAAAUAAAUGGUAACACAGGAAUAACCAUGGCCUGAAUGCCGCAUCCGCUGGGGAUUAUUAUUUUUAUUUUUUUUGCUUUUCUUGAACCCCAAAACUUUCUGAUUUAUUUUUCUUUUCUUGAAC
Molecule: long non-coding RNA, 256 nt
Filed under: Lathyrus oleraceus (garden pea)
Lineage: Eukaryota; Viridiplantae; Streptophyta; Magnoliopsida; Fabales; Fabaceae
Description: Pisum sativum (pea) long non-coding RNA (PSAT_LNC003943)
Source: RNAcentral